This 465-nucleotide ribosomal RNA is filed under the name Vreelandella stevensii. RNAcentral's name for it is "partial 16S ribosomal RNA". It matches the Rfam family "Bacterial small subunit ribosomal RNA", at positions 338 to 795 of the family's 1533-position model. Lineage: Bacteria; Pseudomonadati; Pseudomonadota; Gammaproteobacteria; Oceanospirillales; Halomonadaceae. The record is from RNAcentral.
CCUACGGGUGGCUGCAGUGGGGAAUAUUGGACAAUGGGGGCAACCCUGAUCCAGCCAUGCCGCGUGUGUGAAGAACGCCCUCGGGUUGUAAAGCACUUUCAGUGAGGAAGAACGCCUGGUGGUUAAUACCCAUCAGGAAAGACAUCACUCACAGAAGAAGCACCGGCUAACUCCGUGCCAGCAGCCGCGGUAAUACGGAGGGUGCGAGCGUUAAUCGGAAUUACUGGGCGUAAAGCGCGCGUAGGUGGCUUGAUAAGCCGGUUGUGAAAGCCCCGGGCUCAACCUGGGAACGGCAUCCGGAACUGUCAAGCUAGAGUGCAGGAGAGGAAGGUAGAAUUCCCGGUGUAGCGGUGAAAUGCGUAGAGAUCGGGAGGAAUACCAGUGGCGAAGGCGGCCUUCUGGACUGACACUGACACUGAGGUGCGAAAGCGUGGGUAGCAAACAGGAUUAGAUACCCCGGUAGUC